AAUAACAAGGAUUCCCCUAGUAACUGCGAGUGAAGCGGGAAAAGCUCAAAUUUAAAAUCUGAUAGUCUUAGGCUGUCCGAGUUGUAAUCUAGAGAAGUGUUAUCCGCGCUGGACCGUGUACAAGUCUCCUGGAAUGGAGCGUCAUAGAGGGUGAGAAUCCCGUCUUUGACACGGACUACCAGGGCUUUGUGAUGCGCUCUCAAAGAGUCGAGUUGUUUGGGAAUGCAGCUCAAAAUGGGUGGUAAAUUCCAUCUAAAGCUAAAUAUUGGCGAGAGACCGAUAGCGAACAAGUACCGUGAGGGAAAGAUGAAAAGAACUUUGGAAAGAGAGUUAAACAGUACGUGAAAUUGCUGAAAGGGAAACGCUUGAAGUCAGUCGCGUUGGCCAGGGAUCAACCUUGCUCUUGCUGGGUGUACUUUCUGGUUAACGGGUCAACAUCAAUUUUGAUUGUUGGAAAAAGAUCAAGGGAAUGUAGCAUCUUCGGAUGUGUUAUAGCCUUUGGUUGUAUACAACAAUUGGGAUUGAGGAACUCAGCACGCCGAAAGGCCGGGUUUUUAACCACGUUCGUGCUUAGGAUGUUGGCAUAAUGGCUUUAAUCGACCCGUCUUGAAACACGGACCAAGGAGUCUAACAUGCCUGCGAGUGUUUGGGUGGAAAACCCGAGCGCGUAAUGAAAGUGAAAGUUGAGAUCCCUGUCGCGGGGAGCAUCGACGCCCGGACCAGAAAUUUAUGGACGGUUCCGCGGUAGAGCAUGUAUGUUGGGACCCGAAAGAUGGUGAACUAUGCCUGAAUAGGGUGAAGCCAGAGGAAACUCUGGUGGAGGCUCGUAGCGAUUCUGACGUGCAAAUCGAUCGUCAAAUUUGGGUAUAGGGGCGAAAGACUAAUCGAACCAUCUAGUAGCUGGUUCCUGCCGAAGUUUCCCUCAGGAUAGCAGAAACUCAUUUCAGAUUUAUGUGGUAAAGCGAAUGAUUAGAGGCCUUGGGGUUGAAACAACCUUAACCUAUUCUCAAACUUUAAAUAUGUAAGAACGAGCCGUCUCUUGAUUGGACCGCUCGGCGAUUGAGAGUUUCUAGUGGGCCUUUUGGUAGCAGACUGGCGAUGCGGGAUGAACCGAACAGGUUAAGGCCGGAAUUCCGCUUCAACCAAAGGUUAGUCAUAACCGACGGGCAUGGAAUCGAAUCGCUAGGAUGGUAACCCUGCCAAGACACCAAGGGCCUAACCCAACCC
This 1227-nucleotide ribosomal RNA is filed under the name Cystoderma amianthinum. RNAcentral's name for it is "partial large subunit ribosomal RNA". It matches the Rfam family "Eukaryotic large subunit ribosomal RNA", at positions 64 to 1353 of the family's 3401-position model. Lineage: Eukaryota; Fungi; Basidiomycota; Agaricomycetes; Agaricales; Squamanitaceae. The record is from RNAcentral.